Molecule: long non-coding RNA, 1582 nt
Organism: Oncorhynchus tshawytscha (Chinook salmon)
Lineage: Eukaryota; Metazoa; Chordata; Actinopteri; Salmoniformes; Salmonidae
Exons: 3
Source: RefSeq, a predicted model, not a curated record
UUAAAGAGUUGGUAACCACCCUGCAUCCUCAAUGCAAAGUCAUCUCCAGACCAACUGUUCGUUCAAGAAUACAUGAAUACAUGAAUCUGCCAAUCACACCUUGGCAGGGUAAAUUAUUUUGACACCAUCACCGAUUGUUGGACAGCUCAUCAAAGGAGUUACAUCGUGGUCACAUGUCACUGGACAGAUGAAGAAACUCUGGUGAGACGUUCUGCUGCAUUAGUUUGCAAGAGAUUGAGAGGCUCCCACACAUUUGAUGUGCUUGCAGGUGCCCUCGAUGACAUCCAUUGUGCAUACAGGAUCAGGGUGAAAGUGAUAAGAUCCACAAAAGACAGUGGAUCAAACUUCAUCAAAGCAUUCAAUGUUUUUGGUGAGCAGAGCCAGCAGACCGAAACUCAGAUGUUGAAGAGCCAGCAGAGCAGGUUGAAUACCAAGACUCAUAUUCCAUCCUGGUUAAUGGCCUAGAAUAUAAACUCCCUCAGCAUCAACGGUGUGCAUGUCACCUGCUGAACCUCAUUGCUACAGAUUCUGUGUUGGCAGAAACAAAUAGUGAUAGCUACAAAAGGUUGUCCAGGUCAUCUUUUGCCAAAUGCCAAGCCAUGUGGAAUAAAAUGGGGCGGUCAACCUUAGCUGCUGAAGUUGUAGAGAAUGAGUGCAAACUGCAGUUCAUCCAUCCAAAUCAAACACGUUGAAACUCAACUUCCCUGGCUGUGGAGAGGAUCACACAUAUCAUUCAAGAGAAGGGGGAGGAUGCCAAAACAAAUGUGUUAAGAAUUAAGUGAAAAUCUUUCAACAUUCUACAGUCUGAGAUCAACACGCAUAUGUGGUGGCUGCUGCCAGUGAUCUUCUUACUAAAAACAAAACUUCAAAGGCUGGAAGCAUCUUGCCAAAUGUACCUACCACUUAUCAGAGCCAUUCAGAACAGUCUCCAAAAGCACUUUGGAGAAAUGAUGGAGGAGCCACAGCUUAUUGCUGCUGCAAUCCUUCUGCCAAAGUUCAAGACGUCUUGGACUGACAAAGCUGAUGUCAUCACAGCCGGUUUGGCGUACCUGAAGAAUCAUCUUGACACAAUCACACAGGACGAGACUGCUCAUCUAAGGCAGCAUUCAUCUGAUGAGGAUUUCUUCAUCACUGACAACCAAACGGUCAGAAGGUACAGGGGAGCUGGAUGGGUAUCUUGCGAGUCCAUUGGACGAAAUGGAUUUACUUCAUUUGUUUCCGUACAUAAGAAUUUGCUGCCUGUGAGCGUCUUUGUAGCUGUGCUGGACUACGCUUCACUGCGAAGUGAGCUAGGAUAGACUCAAUUAACUUAGAAAAUCAGCUCCUACUGAAACUGAAUGGCAAAUUCAGAGACAACUGGAGUGAGUUAAGUGUUCAAUAGGCAGUUCCACAAAAAAAAAAAAUGCCUUUUAAACAUUUGUAUAUGUGAAGUUGAAGAUUUAACAUUAAAAUCAGCUGUGCUGAAUCUUAUCUUGUUGGUUAUUUUCUGGUGUUUUAUGGAACAUUUAGCUUGUCAAGCAUUACAUGUAAACAAUAUUACAUAUACAGUAGUAUAUAGAAAAGUUUUUGUAAAAGUUCUUAG